CGGAGGUACUCGAGUGGCGAACGGGUGAGUAACACGUGGGUGAUCUGCCCUGCACUCUGGGAUAAGCCUGGGAAACUGGGUCUAAUACCGGAUAGGACCGCACUUUAGUGUGUGUGGUGGAAAGUUUUUUCGGUGUAGGAUGAGCCCGCGGCCUAUCAGCUUGUUGGUGGGGUAAUGGCCUACCAAGGCGGCGACGGGUAGCCGGACUGAGAGGUUUGUCGGCCACAUUGGGACUGAGAUACGGCCCAG
Molecule: ribosomal RNA, 249 nt
Filed under: uncultured Actinomycetales bacterium
Lineage: Bacteria; Bacillati; Actinomycetota; Actinomycetes; Actinomycetales
Description: partial 16S ribosomal RNA
Rfam family: Bacterial small subunit ribosomal RNA
Source: RNAcentral